AGAUAACAUAAAGUUACCUGUCUGAAGGUGCAGUAGCUUUUCCAAGUGACAAAUUUCCCCGUCUUCCUAUAUACCAAGGAAAGACUGGCUGUGGAAUCGUCUUUCUGCUUAUCUCCAGGACCAACACCUAGAACCUCUUCAUUAAAGAAGUGAGGCCUUUGGAAUGUGCUUAGCUCAUGAAGAUGGAGCCCUUAUGAAGUCAGCCACGAGGAAGAGGGCACUCUGAUCUUGCAUUUGACUCUACUGGCCCCGUGAUCUCGUACUUCUAGCCUCCAGAGCUGUGAGAAAGAAGUUUUUGUUGUUUAGAAGCCAUCCAGUCUGUGGGAUUUUGUUACAGCAGUCCUAACAGACCAGAACAGGCUUGCUUUAAGUGCAGCACAUGGUCAGUUUUGGUAAAUUUUCCAUGUGCA
This is a long non-coding RNA of Nyctereutes procyonoides (raccoon dog), 410 nucleotides long. RefSeq lists it as uncharacterized. The transcript is spliced from 3 exons. Lineage: Eukaryota; Metazoa; Chordata; Mammalia; Carnivora; Canidae. The record is from RefSeq and is a predicted model, not a curated record.